This 479-nucleotide ribosomal RNA is filed under the name uncultured bacterium. RNAcentral describes it as "bacterial SSU rRNA". It matches the Rfam family "Bacterial small subunit ribosomal RNA", at positions 33 to 507 of the family's 1533-position model. The record is from RNAcentral.
ACGCUGGCGGCGUGCUUAACACAUGCAAGUCGAGCGAUGAAGUUUCUUCGGAAAUGGAUUAGCGGCGAACGGGUGAGGAACACGUGAAGAAUCUGCCCUCCACUUUGGGAUAACACCGGGAAACCGGUGCUAAUACCGAAUAUUGAAACAUAAGUGGUAUCACUGAGUUUUGAAAGAAUUUCGGCGGUACGGGAUGGGCAUGCGUAACAUUAGCUAGUUGGUAAGGUAACGGCUUACCAAGGCUUUGAUGUUUAGGGGUCCUGAGAGGGUGGUCCCCCACACUGGUACUGAGACACGGACCAGACUCCUACGGGAGGCAGCAGUGAGGAAUAUUGGUCAAUGGGCGCAAGCCUGAACCAGCCAUCCCGCGUGCAGGAAGACGGCCCUAUGGGUUGUAAACUGCUUUUCCAGGGGGAGAAACUUGCGCACGUGUUGCGCAAUUGACGGUACCCUGGGAAUAAGCAUCGGCUAACUCCGUG